Molecule: ribosomal RNA, 375 nt
Filed under: Triticum aestivum (bread wheat)
Lineage: Eukaryota; Viridiplantae; Streptophyta; Magnoliopsida; Poales; Poaceae
Description: partial small subunit ribosomal RNA
Source: RNAcentral
AUGGAUGCACCGGCGCCACUAGGCCACCGCGGGCGCCGCGUCGAGCAGCGCGACUACGAGAAACGGGAGGAGGAGGACGUCAGGUGGCAGCCCGUCAGGCUCGUGCCCUGGGACUACAUCCUGCUCCGCCACGCCAGCGGCCGCUUCCUCCGCGCCAAUGGGAAGUACCUCCCCUGGAACAACGGUGCCAGCGUCGACGACUUCGACACCGUCAGCACGAUGACUCACUGGGUCGUGGAGCGCAUCCCGGCCAGCGAGGGCAUGCCUGAGGAGCAACAAAUGGAGAAAACGACUAUGAACCAGGUCUUCCAGAUUUUGAUCCUGUUAAGCAUCACAACAGUUGCUGUCCAUGGGUCAAUGGGAUUGUUGCAGUAG